Long non-coding RNA from Protopterus annectens (West African lungfish), 850 nucleotides. RefSeq lists it as uncharacterized. NCBI's taxonomy places the organism in Eukaryota, Metazoa, Chordata, Ceratodontiformes, Protopteridae. The transcript has 4 exons. The record is from RefSeq and is a predicted model, not a curated record.
UGCCCUGAAUCUUCCCCUGUGUUCUUGCCUGGGUGGAUAACCGGACCCAACUAAAGCUGUACACCCUUUUGCUAAAGUAUUAUUUACUCUCCACUGUAACAACUCCCUUCUGUGGAAAAGGGUAUUCAGGAAUCCUCCAAAAGAACCCAAGGAACUUUCUUGCCCUGAAUCUUCCCCUGUGUUCUUGCCUGGGUGGAUAACCGGACCCAACUAAAGCUGUACACCCUUUUGCUAAAGUAUUAUUUACUCUCCACUGUAACAACUCCCUUCUGUGGAAAAGGGUAUUCAGGAAUCCUCCAAAAGAACCCAAGGAACUUUCUUGCCCUGAAUCUUCCCCUGUGUUCUUGCCUGGGUGGAUAACCGGACCCAACUAAAGCUGUACACCCUUUUGCUAAAGUAUUAUUUACUCUCCACUGUAACAACUCCCUUCUAUGGAAAAGGGUAUUCAGGAAUCCUCCAAAAGAACCCAAGGAACUUUCUUGCCCUGAAUCUUCCCCUGUGUUCUUGCCUGGGUGGAUAACCGGACCCAACUAAAGCUGUACACCCUUUGCUAAAGUAUUAUUUACUCUCCACUGUAACAACUCCCUUCUGUGGAAAAGGGUAUUCAGGAAUCCUCCAAAAGAACCCAAGGAACUUUCUUGCCCUGAAUCUUCCCCUGUGUUCUUGCCUGGGUGGAUAACCGGACCCAACUAAAGCUGUACACCCUUUUGCUAAAGUAUUAUUUACUCUCCACUGUAACAACUCCCUUCUGUGGAAAAGGGUAUUCAGGAAUCCUCCAAAAGAACCCAAGGAAGUACGUGCAUCUGCUGCUAAGUCAUAUAUUACCAUACUCUUUUCUCUGCUAACUGUU